This 1346-nucleotide long non-coding RNA is filed under the name Sus scrofa (pig). RNAcentral's name for it is "lncRNA (ENSSSCG00005028014.1)". Lineage: Eukaryota; Metazoa; Chordata; Mammalia; Artiodactyla; Suidae. The record is from RNAcentral.
GUUAACGAAUCCGACUAGGAACCAUGAGGGUGCGGGUUCGAUCCCUGCCCUUGCUCAGUGGGUUAACGAUCCGGUGUUGCCGUGAGUUGUGGUGUAGGUUGCAGAUGAGGCUCGGAUCCCGUGUUGCUGUGGCUCUGGCAUAGGCCAGUGGCUACAGCUCCGAUUCAACCCCUAGCCUGGCAACCUCCAUAUGCCACGGGAGCAGCCCAAAGAAAUAGCAAAAAGACAAAAAAAAAAUGAACUGUAGUCAUGAAUGCCUGUUUAUAAACAUGUCUCCUUCACUAUCACAUGAAGUAAAAAUUUAGAAGAAAAGAAGCACUUGAAUUUAUAGUGAUUUAAAUUGUUAUUUUAAAUUGUUACCUGUUUCAAACUUUUCAUGAGAGCCUACUUUUUCUUUUUUUUACUGCGGGCUUCAAAGCAAUCCAUUAAUAUUUACAUUUAUAAUAAUAUUGUAAUGUGUUCAAGGGUUCAGAUAUUUUACUCAGUUUUCUAUUCAUAGGUAGCAAUAAUUUUAUUCUUUGUUGUUAGAUAGCAUAUUUUUAGAGUGUUGCAAUGUAUACAAUUUUUUGUUUGCUUUUUUGUCUGUAAUUUCUUUGUUACUAUAACUAAAUUGAAAUUAUAACAUCAUGUAAGGCAAACAUACAAGCUCUUAAAAGAAUGUUAACCAGUGUAGACUAACAUGUAUUUUUUUUCUCCUUGAAAAUAAUAUCCUGUGUCCACAGCAACAAAUCAAAAUUUAACUUGUCCCUUUUAGAAUAAAAGUGCUCCUUUUUGUGACUCCAUUGAGUCAAGUUUUUAGAAGUAGUAACAAAAUAUUAAUUAUUGAAGGUACAUUUUUAAAAAAUAUUUGCUUUUAGGAUUUAAUGGAUUCAAAGCAAUAACAUCAAAAAGGUGUAUCAAGUCCAUUUUCUCCUCACCUUUCUAGAUGCAUAAGAUUCAAUAAAAAUGUAACUGAUAUAAAAUCUGGUAUUAAUAAUCUUGUUAUGCCUAACAUUUGUAGUCCUGUUAUGAAUGUGCCUGGCUUACUGUGGCUAACACUUCAAAUGGUCUAUGCUGUAAUAUAGUCAAAGUAGGACUAGUUUUUUUUUCUUGCUGCCUUUUUAGGGCUGUACCCACGGCAUUUGGAGGUUCCCAGGCUAGGGGCCUAAUCAUAGCUACAGCCUCCAGCCUACACCACAGCUACAGCAAUGUGGGAUCCAAGCCGUGUCUCUGUGGUGUAGGUGACAGACGUGCCUCGGAUUCCGAGUUGCUAUGGCUGUGGCAUAAGCUGGCGUCUACAGCUCCAAUUAGACCCCUGGCCUGGGAACCUCCAUAUGGUGUGGGAGCAGUCCUAGAAAAGACAAAAG